GAUGAACGCUGGCGGCGUGCUUAACACAUGCAAGUCGGACGGAGUGCUCAUGACGGAGUUUUCGGACAACUGAUUGAGUUACUUAGUGGCGGACGGGUGAGUAACGCGUGAGGAACCUGCCUCGGAGUGGGGAAUAACAACCCGAAAGGGUUGCUAAUACCGCAUAAUGCAGUUGGGUCGCAUGGCUCUGACUGCCAAAGAUUUAUCGCUGUGAGAUGGCCUCGCGUCUGAUUAGCUUGUUGGUGAGGUAACGGCUCACCAAGGCGACGAUCAGUAGCCGGACUGAGAGGUUGGCCGGCCACAUUGGGACUGAGACACGGCCCAG
Molecule: ribosomal RNA, 325 nt
Filed under: uncultured bacterium
Lineage: Bacteria
Description: bacterial SSU rRNA
Rfam family: Bacterial small subunit ribosomal RNA
Source: RNAcentral